This 393-nucleotide ribosomal RNA is filed under the name Hyperolius mitchelli (Mitchell's reed frog). RNAcentral's name for it is "partial 16S ribosomal RNA". It matches the Rfam family "Bacterial large subunit ribosomal RNA", at positions 2073 to 2621 of the family's 2925-position model. The record is from RNAcentral. Lineage: Eukaryota; Metazoa; Chordata; Amphibia; Anura; Hyperoliidae.
CGGGAAUAAAACUAUAAGACGAAAAGACCCUAUGGAGCUUUAAACUUAUUACCACUUAUUUAACCAUGUAACAGCUUANAUAAUAAUAAUGCUCUCUAAUAGUUUUCGGUUGGGGCAACCCUGGGGGAAAAUAAAUCCCCCAGAUUGAAAAAAAUAAUCCUUAUAUAAGAACUACAGUUCAAAUAAACAAAAUUUUGACAAAACUGACCCAGUUAGCUGAUCAGUGAACCAAGUUACCCUAGGGAUAACAGCGCUAUCCAUUUUGAGAGUCCAUAUUGACAAAUGGGUUUACGACCUCGAUGUUGGAUCAGGGUAUCCUAGCAGUGCAGCCAUUGCUAAUGGUUCGUUUGUUCAACGACUAACACCCUACGUGAUCUGAGUUCAAACCNGACG